RNAcentral lists this ribosomal RNA (467 nucleotides) under uncultured bacterium. RNAcentral's name for it is "partial 16S ribosomal RNA". It matches the Rfam family "Bacterial small subunit ribosomal RNA", at positions 28 to 507 of the family's 1533-position model. The record is from RNAcentral.
GACGAACGCUGGCGGCGUGCUUAACACAUGCAAGUCGAACGGAAAGGCUCCAGCUUGCUGGAGUACUCGAGUGGCGAACGGGUGAGUAACACGUGGGUAAUCUGCCCUGCACUCUGGGAUAAGCCUGGGAAACUGGGCCUAAUACUGGAUAUGACCUUUCUCCUUAUGGGGUUUGGUGGAAAGUUUUUCGGUGUAGGAUGAGCCCGCGGCCUAUCAGCUUGUUGGUGGGGUGAUGGCCUACCAAGGCGACGACGGGUAGCCGGCCUGAGAGGGUGAUCGGCCACAUUGGGACUGAGAUACGGCCCAGACUCCUACGGGAGGCAGCAGUGGGGAAUAUUGCACAAUGGGCGGAAGCCUGAUGCAGCGACGCCGCGUGAGGGAUGACGGCCUUCGGGUUGUAAACCUCUUUCAGCAGGGACGAAGCGUAAGUGACGGUACCUGCAGAAGAAGCACCGGCUAACUACGUG